CUACGGGGGGCAGCAGUGGGGAAUAUUGGACAAUGGGCGAAAGCCUGAUCCAGCCAUGCCGCGUGUGUGAAGAAGGCCUUCGGGUUGUAAAGCACUAUCAGUGGGGAAGAAAGCCUUGGGGCUAAUACCCUCGAGGAAGGACAUCACCCACAGAAGAAGCACCGGCUAACUCCGUGCCAGCAGCCGCGGUAAUACGGAGGGUGCGAGCGUUAAUCGGAAUUACUGGGCGUAAAGCGCGCGUAGGCGGUCUGAUAAGCCGGUUGUGAAAGCCCCGGGCUCAACCUGGGAACGGCAUCCGGAACUGUCAGGCUAGAGUGCAGGAGAGGAAGGUAGAAUUCCCGGUGUAGCAGUGAAAUGCGUAGAGAUCGGGAGGAAUACCAGUGGCGAAGGCGGCCUUCUGGACUGACACUGACGCUGAGGUGCGAAAGCGUGGGUAGCAAACAGGAUUAGAUACCCUGGUAGUC
Molecule: ribosomal RNA, 464 nt
Filed under: Vreelandella stevensii
Lineage: Bacteria; Pseudomonadati; Pseudomonadota; Gammaproteobacteria; Oceanospirillales; Halomonadaceae
Description: partial 16S ribosomal RNA
Rfam family: Bacterial small subunit ribosomal RNA
Source: RNAcentral